GGGAAUGUGGCUUAGUGGUAGAGUGCUUGCCUAGCAAGCAUGAAGGCGGGGGUUCAAUUCCUCAUAAACA
Molecule: transfer RNA, 70 nt
Filed under: Dipodomys ordii (Ord's kangaroo rat)
Lineage: Eukaryota; Metazoa; Chordata; Mammalia; Rodentia; Heteromyidae
Rfam family: tRNA
About the family: Transfer RNA (tRNA) molecules are approximately 80 nucleotides in length.
Source: Rfam by way of RNAcentral